AUGUGUUCCCCAGUUCCCAUCUGUGUUCCCCAGGGCCGGGAUGUGUUCCCCAGGGCCGGGAUGUGUUCCCCAGGGCCGGGAUGUGUUCCCCAGGGCCGGGGUGUGUUCCCCAGUUCCCAUCUGUGUUCCCCAGUUCCCAUCUGUGUUCCCCAGGGCCGGGAUGUGUUCCCCCGUUCCCGUCUGUGUUCCCCAGGGCAGGGAUGUGUUCCCCAGGGCCGGGAUGUGUUCCCCAGGGCCGGGAUGUGUUCCCCAGGGCCGGGAUGUGUUCCCCAGGGCCCAUCUGCAUUCCCCAGGGCCGUGAUGUGUUCCCCAGGGCAGGGAUGUGUUCCCCAGUUCCCAUCUGUGUUCCCCAGGGCAGGGAUGUGUUCCCCAGUGCCCAUCUGCAUUCCCCAGGGCAGGGAUGUGUUCCUCAGGGCAGGGAUGUGUACCCUAGGGCCGGGAUGUGUUCCCCAGGGCCGGGAUGUGUUCCCCCGUUCCCGUCUGCAUUCCCCAGGGCCGGGAUGUGUUCCCCAGGGCCGGGAUGCGUUCCCCCGUCCCCGUCUGCGUUCCCCGGGCCCGGGUUGCGUUCCCACCCCGUGCUCGGUGGCACCGGGGCCCGGGGGAUGCUCGGGCUCGGCGCUGCGCCGCUCGCAGCUGCGAUUUCCCGCUGACCGCGCUCCGGCAGCGCUGCCAUCAAUCACGGGGCUCCCGGUUCCGGCGGCGCCGAGCGAGGAGGCGGAGCGGGGCCGCGGGCAGAGCCGGAGCGGAGCGGGCCGGGGCCGGGGCCGGUGCGUGGGGCCGGGCGGGGGGCGGCGGGCCCGGGACGCUCCGCUCCGCUCCGGCCGCAGCUGCUCGGCGGCGGCGGAGGGGCCUCCUUUUGUUCACCAGCUGCGCCUGCCGGCCCCGCUUCCUCCGUGCCUGCCCUUCCCGGAGCCCUCCUCCUCCUCGUCUUCCUCCUCCUCGUCCUGCCGGGUCCGGAGCGGGGCAGGGCGCGGGGCUCGCUCCGCCGGGAGUGCCCCGAGCCCCCGGAGCCGCGGGCUGGCCCAGCCGCUGCGAGCCGCCUUCCUUCCCAUCCGGAGAAUUAAGGCUGCUCUGCAAGUUGACUAA
This 1086-nucleotide long non-coding RNA is filed under the name Parus major (Great Tit). RNAcentral describes it as "lncRNA (ENSPMJG00000014808.1)". Lineage: Eukaryota; Metazoa; Chordata; Aves; Passeriformes; Paridae. The record is from RNAcentral.